Long non-coding RNA from Heterocephalus glaber (naked mole-rat), 723 nucleotides. The record is from Ensembl. NCBI's taxonomy places the organism in Eukaryota, Metazoa, Chordata, Mammalia, Rodentia, Bathyergidae.
AAAAAAUAUGCUUCAGCUUGGAAAUGAAUUUCAUUUAUUAAUGUCAAUUGUUUCUCUACUUUAUUUAUGGUAGUCACUAAUAAAUUACCCACCCGGAAUAGUCAACAUGGCUCUUGCUUUGAAUCACAAAGUUAUUAGGCUUUGGUUUCUUCAAGACAUCUAUUUAGUUUGGAUGAGGAGCUCAAGAUUUUUGUAUGGCAGUUAAAGGAAAAUAGAGUAAAUUCAAGCAGUCCCUAUUAUUGCUAUUUUCUUUUUAUGAGACUACUUCAGACAUUGACAAUAAUGUUUAAGAAAUUAUAUUUAUUAAAGAGUGAAUGCAAAUAUUUCUUACUUUUUUAAUAAUCUAUUUUAUAUUGUAUCUUUUUUUAAGAAUGCAGGAAGCAAAAAAUUAUAAAUGUUAAUUUAUUCAUUCAGGACCUAUCUGGAUUUUAUAGAUUAUGGAAACUAAUGUACAGGAUAUUUUAAAGCUUUCUAAUGCCCUAAGAUCAAUAAUAAAUCAGACAAAAUGAAGAUUUCAGGUUCUUUACCAUCUAGUUAAUAUAAAACUAAGGAAGAAUGGUCAUCAUGAAGAAAUCAAGUAAUACCAAAUGCUAAUGAGGGUAUGGAGGAAAAGGAACCCUUGUACAUUGUUGGUGAGCAUUCACAAGAUGGAGCCCAUCUGCUUCCCUGAAGAGGACCCUCACCAGGAACAUGAUCAGAAUCAGCAACUUGUCUUAAAUUUAC